Molecule: ribosomal RNA, 389 nt
Filed under: uncultured bacterium
Lineage: Bacteria
Description: bacterial SSU rRNA
Rfam family: Bacterial small subunit ribosomal RNA
Source: RNAcentral
AUUGAACGCUGGCGGCAUGCUUUACACAUGCAAGUCGAACGGCAGCGCGGGGCAACCUGGCGGCGAGUGGCGAACGGGUGAGUAAUAUAUCGGAACGUACCCAGAAGUGGGGGAUAACGUAGCGAAAGUUACGCUAAUACCGCAUACGAUCUACGGAUGAAAGUGGGGGAUCUUCGGGCCUCAUGCUUUUGGAGCGGCCGAUAUCUGAUUAGCUAGUUGGUGGGGUAAAGGCUCACCAAGGCGACGAUCAGUAGCUGGUCUGAGAGGACGACCAGCCACACUGGGACUGAGACACGGCCCAGACUCCUACGGGAGGCAGCAGUGGGGGAAUUUUUGGACCAAAUGGGGGGGCGAACCCUGAUCCAGCAAUGCCGCGUGAGUGAAGAAGG